UACGUAGGUGGCAAGCGUUGUCCGGAUUUACUGGGCGUAAAGCGUGCGCAGGCGGUUGUGCAAGACAGGUGUGAAAUCCCCGGGCUUAACCUGGGAACUGCACUUGUGACUGCACGGCUGGAGUACGGCAGAGGGGGAUGGAAUUCCGCGUGUAGCAGUGAAAUGCGUAGAUAUGCGGAGGAACACCGAUGGCGAAGGCAGUCCCCUGGGCCUGUACUGACGCUCAUGCACGAAAGCGUGGGGAGCAAACAGG
RNAcentral lists this ribosomal RNA (253 nucleotides) under uncultured bacterium. RNAcentral describes it as "partial 16S ribosomal RNA". It matches the Rfam family "Bacterial small subunit ribosomal RNA", at positions 524 to 776 of the family's 1533-position model. The record is from RNAcentral.